ACCUUCUAUGAGGUUUCUCUAAUUGAUUGUAGCUGGGAGAAGGAAAUACGGAUUAUUGACCCAGCAAGUGAGCUCGCGUGUUUGCACACUAGUGCUUCAGUGGCCUGCUCUUCAGUUUCAAACAUAACAAGAGCCUGCUUCUUCCCAUUCAUCUCAAAGAGUUUGGUGUUGACAAUGGUGCCAUGCUCCUCCAAAUGGCUCACUAUCUCCUCUUCAGUGAUGUCCUGAGGAAGAGUGGAAAUGUGGAUCAUCUUUGUUGGUGAGCAGCAGUACCUGUAGUUCUUUGCAGCGUUACGGUUAAAGCGGUUGAGAUUGGAGUUGACGUACUCAUGAGUGUCAGCACCUUGAGUUAUGUUUGGAUGCUUUGAAAAAUUGACUUCCAAUCGCUUCCCAAAAAGCAUAGCGCCCUGUUCCACAUUUGAAAAUCAUUAAAAAUGUCAAGUUCUAAAAACUAAAAGAGACGUAAACUAAGAAAGAAGACCAACUAUAGUUGGAAAGACAAUUAGCAUAUUGUUAUACAAUUGGCAGGAGCAAGUUAAAAAAAAAAUGCAAAUAAAGUGGAAAAGAAGAUGCAAAGAACAUAGAUUGAUUUCCUAAUUCAUGGAUAAUCUGAAACCACAGAAGCAGAGAGAAGCACAAAUUUCCACCCAAAGGGACAGCCAUUGUUGGUCAAUGACUGUUAGAAUCCCUCUCUUUGCUUUCAUUCUUAUUUGAUAUACUAAAAAUCAUGGAACACAAAUUUUGUAGACCCUUCAAAUGGCUGGAUAGGGUUUACACUUUAAAAUAAGAAGACAGAAGAACCACAGAAGAUCAAUGAGACAAGAGUUGACACCACAAAAAAUGUAAGGAGAAUCAACAUAGUUUAAAAAAAUAAAUAAAUAAAGCCAUGAAUGAAAGAACAAUUGAUUGUUUUUCCCAAUGAAGCCCUCUGAAUCCUAGAGACUAGACCCGGCCAAAACCGGCCUGAAACCGAAACCAUGAAGUUCCAGUUCAGGUUCAUUGUGGUGUAAGUUCAACGGUCCAGUUUUUUUUCAGAUUUUUUUAAUUUUUUUAAAUGGAAAAAAGGCAGUUCAGCCUGGAACCAUCCAGUUUGGUUCUAGUUCAAUUCCAGUCCAGUUCAUUUACGGUUCGAGUCAAAGACAGGUUUAGCCAGUUCCUGUUCUGAACGGGCCCUUGGCCACCUCUAUCAGAGACUUCUGAUUUAUCAUAUUAUUGCUUAAACUGACAGAAAGAUACAGCUUUAUUUCAUUUUGGAGAAAUGUUGUCAACACUGAUUAAAGUAAAAUGCUAAGAAAAUAAAUUAAAAAUUUACCUAUGAGCAAUAAUUUCAAGGAGUAGGCACUAAGUACACUAAAAAAACAUGCCGAACACAUUAUCAUAGAAAGUAUCUUCCAAAAUAAUCAAAGUAAUGUAGUGUGAGAAGCUUUUAGGAAUAGACCUUCAAAAAAUGCACUGCUAAUUCAGCCUGAAAACCAUCCCCCAUCUGAACAAGUGCAUGAUCUGGUUUAUUGCGGAGAAACUUAAUCCUCACAAUGUUUCCGUAGAGAGAAAACAGGUUAAAAAGCUUAUCCUCAUCCACUCGAUCGGGAUUUAAAUUUGAUACAAGCACUGUACACCUAUCAUUUGUCCCACUAAUUCCAGGAGGCAAGCCUCCACCAAAGGCAGCAGCAAUUGCAGUUGCAUUGGCCAUCUGUGGAUAUGCAACUCCUACAUCACCAUAUCCAGCCGGUUGUGAAGAUCUGCCUUUCUGUUCAGAAGGUAGAUUUGGAUUAGUGAAAUCCCUUGAUCGAUCAUUAUUGUAGUUCACUUGCAACUCAUCCAAGCUGGAUGGCAAAUACAAAGAAUAAAUUCAUAUCAGCAAGAUGAAAAAAAAUUGAAAUUCCUUUUCUUUUUGCAGGUAUAAGGCAUCAAAAAUAGAGCAGUCACACAGGUGAAAUCAUGGAUAAUUACACUCAGAUGCCACAAAGAAAAAGAGAUGGUGACAGAUGACUUUCUUUUGGUGGGCGGUUAAAAUUAGAUAAUAUAAUUGCUAAAAUUUAUUACAUACUUUGAAAACUGAAUGUCCAGCUGACAGCAACCGUCAUAAAUGUUGCGUCCCUACGACACAGCCAAGUAUCAAAACUCAUCCAAAACGAAGCCAACCAGAGACGAGGAUGGUCGUAGUAAGCGACGAAAUGCUUGCAAGACCUUAAACAAAUCUAUAGAUGAAAGUCACAUUGGCAAUUAAAAGAUAGAAUAAUACCUGAAGAGAAGUCCUAGCUGCAACAGCACUCUGCCGUAACUGAUACUGGAUAAGGGCUUGAAAACCUGAACAUUGAGCAGGGAUAAUAGAGGGAAAGUAACUAUUAAAAACCAUGGAAAACUCUUAUGCACAACUCUGUUGAAAUCAUUAUGCCUCCAUCACCGACUGAAAAUCAUAAGAGUAUUUCACAAAAGCACCCGAAGUAAAGAGUUAGGAAAAAGAAAACACAGGUGAUUCACAACUAUAAAGUCAUUUGGCGGACCCAUUAGAAUGUUGAUCAUGAAAAUAUAAGCAUACAAAAAGACCUUAAUGUCAAAUCUAAUCUAGGCGAGAAUUAAAAUUUGAGAGAGAGGGGAGAAGCAGGGAGAGAGAGAAAGAGAAGAAAACUUGAAGAAGCUGACCAGCCGACUUCUGAAAUGUGACGAUCUUCUCCACAAACCCAUGAGGAGAAAAAACUUGAUGCAGCACUUCCACAGUAAUAGGAUAUAGCAUGUGAUGGAUUGUGACUAAAAGAAUGCGAUUCGGCUGUGCAUCCAGAGUCCCCAACAGCAAAAACCAUAGAGACAGAAGAGAGAGAAGAGAAUAAAUAGAGAAGCAUAGAUAGGGAGACGAGAGAGAUAUAAAGAGAGAACUUUAUUUAGAGAAAAAAAGAACAAGAACAAACAAAAAUAAAUGAGUAAUAGUUAAACUAACAGAAAGCAUUUAACAAUUAAUGAUGAUUGAAAUACAAGAAAAUGAGAAAUGCAAGAUCCGAGAAGGAAGUCAUAAAUGCUAACUGUUAAUAGAGUUAUAAUUUGAUUUUUAUCACCAAAUCAUAAUGAUUUAACUACACAACUGUUACAAGUUAAUAAUUUAUAUUACCCCUUAAAACUAUAAGAGUAACAUAAGAAUUGUUCCUUUGUAAGCCAACAGUUUGCAAAUAAAAAUUUCCCAACUUAAGUUAAAAAGAAUAAUAGCUGAACAAGUUCUUUUGCUUCCUGGUAAUGAAUAAGCCCCUAGUUCACGACAAUCCUUAAGGCAAUGUCAACUAACAAUAUGUAACAAUUGAAAGGCAAUUCCAUAAAAAGAUUGGUCCUUUAAAAUGCUAUAUGUAUAAAUAUAAACAACACACCCACAUUUCAUUUUUAGCAUAUUAGGCUACAAAGCACCAACCUCAUCUCCACGUCCUUGAGAAUUUUGAUCCAUUGUGGUUAAUUCCUGAUGCGACGAGAAUUGGACAUAAACAUUUCUACCCCUUAUGGUUGGCUGGACAUUUGUGUAGAAUUGCAGAGCAUUGAUGGCUGAAGGGACAUCUUGCAUUUGGAGGAGAGCCUGAUUUUUAGCCCGAAGCAUAACAAGUUUUGUUAUGACCCCAAAUGGCUGGAAUAGCUGAAGCAAAUCAUUUUCAGAAAUUUCAUGCCCAACAUUGCGGACGUGGAUAACUUUGGAAGGUUCUGCCAUCUUGUACCACCCUGCAACAAAAACAAUGCAAUAUUUCCAGUAUCAAAAGAAUCAUAUCGCAUUGAAGAGUAUCUCACCCAAAAUGGAAGCAACUAAAUACACAAAACUCCCUCCAUUCACAAACAGUACACAAGACAAUGCUCAUUCAGUCCUCAAAUCAACAACAACGUUCAAAUUCAAAAACUGAAAACGCAAGUUUUACGCCUGGACCAUUAUUAAUCAUUAAAAACAUAAAGUUUCAUUAAAAACUAAAUCAAGUUCAGUAAAUUUAUCUUUUAAACAGCAAAAAAAAAUAUAAUAAUGGCACUUAUUUCCUGCAAUACAUGACUAAAUCAAAAGCAAAUUCGAAAGAGUAUGAAAGAAGCCAAUCAUUCAAAUCCAAAAAAUAAAGAAAUAAAAACACUAAAUCACAGUAAACACAAAAGGUAGAAAAGGCCAUUUAGAGUAUGCGAAACUGAAAACCCUAGGGCCCCGUUUAUAAGCUGAGAAAUAAGAGGAAAAAAAAUCAAAAAGAUAGACUUUGAAUCCAAAGAAUAGCUAAUAGCUAAGAAAUUGAAAGCUAAAAACUUUAUUAGUCGUUAAGAUUUUCUCAGCGACGAAACAUACCAUCCAUUCAUCCAUGAAAGCAGAGUGAGAUAGAUAAUCAAAAAGGAAGAGAGAGAUGAAGAACUUGCCUGAGAGGGAGAAAGAGAGGAGAGAGAGAGUGAACUGAGAGAGAGAGACAGAGAGAGACAGAGAGACAGAGAUUGGAUACGAGGUGCAGAAGAAAACUUUCAAGUCAUUCAGAAUAGAUCCACAAGAAGAACAGAGGGGCUGGGGUGCAGUGCAAUGGUGGGUGUAGAGGGAAAAAUGGGAAUAAAGAAAGGGAAAGAAAAGGAGAGCCGAAGUAGACCAAGUUAACGAUUGAAAUAGAAUUAAAA
RNAcentral lists this unclassified non-coding RNA (4602 nucleotides) under Hevea brasiliensis (rubber tree). Lineage: Eukaryota; Viridiplantae; Streptophyta; Magnoliopsida; Malpighiales; Euphorbiaceae. The record is from RNAcentral.